GUGGCCUAUCGGUUAGAGUGUCUGCCUCUGAUGCGGGAGGUAAUGGGUUCGAUCCCCAGUCAAGUCA
Molecule: non-coding RNA, 67 nt
Organism: Potamilus streckersoni
Lineage: Eukaryota; Metazoa; Mollusca; Bivalvia; Unionida; Unionidae
Source: the annotation of a GenBank genome assembly